GUUGAACCUUGUGUAAUCAAGUGUUUGAUAUCUGAAGAAGAUGUAAUCUAUUGUUUGAUCUUGGCCAAAAAGAGCCGAAGGAAAUAUGUUCACAGAUUUGAUUUUAUAUGGUUAAGAAUGAAACUCAGGUUGACUUCAAAACAUAUUAUGGGACAACUAUCUCGCUAAAAAUAAUUAAGUAACAGCAGUAUUUUCAUAAGUUUCAAAGAAGUAAAAGUGUAAAACUCAUUACAUCUGGUCAGGUAUAAGGACUACCAUAUAACUUGGCUAGAUAGGCCUAUUUUUUUUGUGCACCCAUUUUAGGAGCCCGUUUACAGUGCUCCUAUACGAUCUCCUCGCUGCUCCUGGUGUACUAUCUUUUCAUGGGAGAUUAUGUAGGUCCGCUUCUUUGGAGAUCCAUCAUCCAUUUGUUAAUGAGAUAUUGCAUUAAGCUUACUUUGUUCUCGAAAUGAAUAGCUUUUGAUUCCAAACUGUUAUCUAGAUUGUUUUUAGCUUUAAAGAAAAUGGUUACAAGAAUCUACAUUAUCUGUUUCAAAUUGGAAACCUCUAGAUUCCAUUUUGACACAUGAUUUCUGUAUGUAUCAUUUGCCUAGUGCCAAGUUUGCUUUUGGCUCCUUUAGCUUAUUAAUGACAUUGUAUGUUUCAGAGAUCGUGGGUACUAUUCUGUGGAGACAGCACACUUUUGGUCGUCUUGAAAAUUCGUUAGAGAGUAGAAUUACAAUCUUGAGAGGGAUUGAAGAAGUUUGGAAAAUCACUCAAGUGUAAGAAUGGUAAUGUGUAUUCUCUAGCUGCUGAUUUUGGAUCUCAACGGGAACAAUGAAAGCCAUUGAGGCAAUCCCCUAUAUAUUAUUUGAGAAGCAUUGCAACAUUUUUUUGUAGCCACGUGUCAUCACUAGAAUGAUUCUUAGAAUCCUUAGAGAAAUAGGUUGGUCCAUCUAAAUAUAUAAUAAGCUUUUUAUUAAACCA
Molecule: long non-coding RNA, 966 nt
Filed under: Brassica rapa (field mustard)
Lineage: Eukaryota; Viridiplantae; Streptophyta; Magnoliopsida; Brassicales; Brassicaceae
Description: long non-coding RNA (BRAP_LNC006125)
Source: RNAcentral